Diorhabda sublineata is the source of this 150-nucleotide long non-coding RNA. RefSeq lists it as uncharacterized. NCBI's taxonomy places the organism in Eukaryota, Metazoa, Arthropoda, Insecta, Coleoptera, Chrysomelidae. The record is from RefSeq and is a predicted model, not a curated record. The transcript has 3 exons.
CUCAUCGCCAUCUCGCUUCACGAUCUUCACAAACUACUUCUCGUAGGUUGUAUUAUCGCGGAAAAGGUAGUUGUCGAUAUUGAGCAGCUCUUUCCUGAAGGAAAAGGUACUACUACAUUUUAUCCAAAUAACGAAUCAUCUCACCGUACA